Molecule: transfer RNA, 74 nt
Filed under: Notoscopelus japonicus (Japanese lanternfish)
Lineage: Eukaryota; Metazoa; Chordata; Actinopteri; Myctophiformes; Myctophidae
Description: tRNA-Leu (UUR)
Rfam family: tRNA
About the family: Transfer RNA (tRNA) molecules are approximately 80 nucleotides in length. Their secondary structure includes four short double-helical elements and three loops (D, anti-codon, and T loops). Further hydrogen bonds mediate the characteristic L-shaped molecular structure. tRNAs have two regions of fundamental functional importance: the anti-codon, which is responsible for specific mRNA codon recognition, and the 3' end, to which the tRNAs corresponding amino acid is attached (by aminoacyl-tRNA synthetases). tRNAs cope with the degeneracy of the genetic code in two manners: having more than one tRNA (with a specific anti-codon) for a particular amino acid; and 'wobble' base-pairing, i.e. permitting non-standard base-pairing at the 3rd anti-codon position.
Source: RNAcentral
GUUAAAGUGGCAGAGCCUGGACAUUGCAAAAGACCUAAGCUCUUUCUACAGAGGUUCAAGUCCUCUCUUUAACU